GACGAACGCUGGCGGCGUGCCUAAUACAUGCAAGUCGAGCGGGGAUUAUGCUUGAUCGCUUCGGUGAGACGGCAUAUAUCCUAGCGGCGGACGGGUGAGUAACGCGUGGGUAAUCUACCUCGUAGUUCGGGAUAACAGGCCGAAAGGCUUGCUAAUACCGGAUGAGUUCAUGCUUAUGCAUAUAGGCAUGAAGAAAGGGCUAGCCCGCUAUGAGAUGAGCCCGCGUCCCAUUAGCUUGUUGGUGGGGUAAUGGCCUACCAAGGCAACGAUGGGUAGCCGGCCUGAGAGGGUGUACGGCCACACUGGGACUGAGACACGGCCCAGACUCCUACGGGAGGCAGCAGCAGGGAAUCUUGGGCAAUGGGCGAAAGCCUGACCCAGCGACGCCGCGUGGAGGAAGAAGUCCUUCGGGCGUAACUCCUGGACGUGGGGACGAGGAAGGACGGUACCCCGAGUAGAAAGGGACGGACUAACGUAACGUGCCAGCAGACCGCGGUAAAUAGCGUA
This 507-nucleotide ribosomal RNA is filed under the name uncultured bacterium. RNAcentral's name for it is "bacterial SSU rRNA". It matches the Rfam family "Bacterial small subunit ribosomal RNA", at positions 28 to 529 of the family's 1533-position model. The record is from RNAcentral.